AACGAACGCUGGCGGCAUGCCUAACACAUGCAAGUCGAACGAGACCUUCGGGUCUAGUGGCGCACGGGUGCGUAACACGGGGGAACCUGCCCUUAGGUUCGGAAUAACUCCCCGAAAGGGGUGCUAAUACCGGAUAAUGUCUUCGGACCAAAGAUUUAUCGCCUUUGGAUGGGCCCGCGUUGGAUUAGCUAGUUGGUAGGGGAAAAGCCUACCAAGGCGACGAUCCAUAGCUGGUCUGAGAGGAUGAUCAGCCACACUGGGACUGAGACACGGCCCAGACUCCUACGGGAGGCAGCAGUGGGGAAUAUUGGACAAUGGGCGAAAGCCUGAUCCAGCAAUGCCGCGGGAGUGAUGAAGGCCUUAGGGUUGUAAAGCUCUUUUACCCGGGAUGAUAAUGACAGUACCGGGAGAAUAAGCUCCGGCUAACUCCGUG
RNAcentral lists this ribosomal RNA (433 nucleotides) under uncultured bacterium. RNAcentral describes it as "partial 16S ribosomal RNA". It matches the Rfam family "Bacterial small subunit ribosomal RNA", at positions 29 to 507 of the family's 1533-position model. The record is from RNAcentral.